CACAAUUGAAGAAGAAAAUCUCUUCCUUCUCUCUAUCUAUAUUUCUUGUUCAUGUUUUACUAAGUUGCUUAUAUUUCUUAUUCAUGUUUUACUAAAUAGUUUUCAUUUUAUAACAUCAAGAAACUAAUCAUUUUCUAUUUUAAAUAUGGACCGAGGGUUUGAGCAUUACAAAUAACUUCAGAUAAACAAAUAAUUGCUCAUAAGCAAAUAAUUGCAACAAGUAAUACUAGUUAAUCUUUCUCUAUCUUAGAGGUUUUUUGCUUGUAUGCACAUAUAGUUUAUUCUGAAAAUAAGGCAAGCAAACAAGCAAUAUGAUGUGCACAUAGAAUCUUGCCCUUGACUUGGGGAAGAAUCCCUAAUUCACCCCGGAAUAAUUUUCCGGCCAUUCCUUAAUAAUCUUGCGUAGCCAACAUUUUGAGAUCUACAAUUGAAGCAGUUAAAACCGUUAAUCUAAACUAUUCAUUGAACCCAAUUCUUCCAUCAAAGUCUCAUUUAGCCAUUUUUGCGCUUAUGGUUACUUCUACCCUUAAACUCCUUUGAUUGUGCAUUCCAUAGUCAUAAUAUAUUAUAAAUAUAAAGAUUAAUUUAAUAGUAAAAGUAACAUAAAUUACCUUCUCGAAGAAACCAUAGUUCUUUGCUGAUUGAGUUCUUGAAGAUGAUUUAAAGAUUUCAACAUGAAAUCUUGUUAGAAUCUAUUUUGGGAUUAAUAAUCUAACUAUAAUCACGUUAAAGACUCGCCUUGGGCAGUGGGGAAUGAUUUUGGCUUAUCUCCUUGAAAAGAUGAAACUAAGCUCCUUGGGAUGUUAAGAAUAAUAAAAUCAAGGUCCUGGGUAAAUUUGUUGGCCUGGUCCCUCAGGCCUUCCUUGAAAGUCGAAAUCUGAAAAUUUGUCUCGGUUCAACCAUAGUACGGUCGGUCACUGCAGUUUGAAUUCUUUAUCACGGUUGGAUCGGGAUCUACUUACUACUCUAACACCCUUUAGUAAAAAGGUCUAACUUUAUGAAGAAAUAUUUGAACGAUAAAUAUUUUUGAAAACUGCUAUAUAUGGUCAAAAUCGGACUCAUCUAUUGUAUGAUGGAUCAAGACCGAAACGUGAUGAAUUGAAGAUCGGCUCCGAGUUUCAUCAAACUAAAGUACGAAGUCAGAAUAUACGUCUUCAAGAUCUUCGAGUCUAUGACUCCGAAAUCGACCCCUUCUUAGAAUAAGCUCGAGGAAAUAUUAUCGGAUCCAAUAAUGGAAGAACAAAAUAUCUGUAACCAGUCGAAUAUCAAGGCAGGAAUCUCGUCACAUAUCAAUGAGAGAUCGAUUAAUUAGCAAAUCAUGAUAUUUCUUACCUUAUAUAGAAUUGUAUCUAAAGAAGGACCCCCUACUAUAUAAAGGGUAUCUGACUCUCUGUGUACAUUGCAACAUACAUCCCAAAAGCAUUAUAGUAUUAUUUUCUUUCUACAAACUAAUUUUCUUUUAUAUUUUGAAUUAUGUAGAUCAUAUUCAGUUCGAAUAAGAUCUAUUUCUCAAGUCUAUAAUUGUUCACUUCA
This 1533-nucleotide long non-coding RNA is filed under the name Nicotiana benthamiana. Its description in RNAcentral is "long non-coding RNA (NBEN_LNC027038)". The record is from RNAcentral. Lineage: Eukaryota; Viridiplantae; Streptophyta; Magnoliopsida; Solanales; Solanaceae.